Molecule: long non-coding RNA, 1467 nt
Filed under: Phocoena sinus (vaquita)
Lineage: Eukaryota; Metazoa; Chordata; Mammalia; Artiodactyla; Phocoenidae
Description: lncRNA (ENSPSNG00000015331.1)
Source: RNAcentral
GAAUUACGGCGGCGGAACCUCGUCCGGUAGCGUUUUCUCGCGGUGGUGGUGAGAAUCUUCCCUACCUCUCUCACAUCUUCCAGCACAUUGGAGCUCAUCUCAUUUCAAUAAGUUCACCUUUUUCUUCUCAGAAAUUUAAGGUAAUCUGUGGUAAAUUUUCUCUCUGUGUUUCAUUUGGGAUGGUUUCUAGUGCUUUAUCUUCAAAUUCACUGAACAGUCUUCUGCAAUAUCUAGUAUGCUGUCACUUCAGUGUGGUUUUCAUCUAAGACAAUAUGGUUUUCAUUUCUAGGAGUUCUAUUUGUGAUUUUUUAAUAUCUUCCAUGUCUCUACUUAGCGUGUUCAGUCUUUUCUCUAGCUUCUUGACCAUAUGGAAUGCAGAUAUAACACUGUUUUAUACUGUUUUUAACUACCACCCUAGAUCCAAGAAUCUCAACUAACCCCAAACAGGGUAAGUGUAAAAAGAAAAGCACAUCAAAGCACAUUAUAAUCACAUUGCUGAAAAGUGCUGAUAAAGAGAAAAAUGAAAAGCAAUAAGAGGAACUAAAAUACACAUUAUGUACUGAGAAACAAAGAUUAAAAUGACAACAGCUUUCUCAUUAGAACCUAGGCAAGUCAGAAGAUAGAACAUUUUUAAUACUCUGAAAGAAAAAAAACCCUGAUUUUUCAUGUAACAAAAAUAUUCAUCAAAAAUCAAGGUAAGAUAAAGAUAUUUUCAGACAAAUCUGAGAGAGGUGGUCUGUAACAUAUUGUACUACAGUAAAAGAAAUGUUGAAGUUCUCCAAGCUGAAGGGAAAUGAUACAAGAUAGAAAGUUGGAUUUAUACAAAGGAAUAAAGAUCCCAGAAAUAAUAAAUAUGGUAAAUAUAAUGAUUCUCAUAAACUAUAUUUUAUUUAAAAGAUAUCUGUUUAAGCAAAAAUAGUAAUAGUGUAUUGUGAGGUUAAUAACGUGUAAAAGUGAAAUGUAUGACAAGAACAGCAACAAAGAAUGGAUGGGAGAAAUGUAAGUAUACUUGUAUGAUUUUUACAUUUUAUCAUGUCGUAUAAUAGUAUUUGAAGAUAGAAUAUAAGUUAAAGAUGCAAUUGUAAACUCUAGAUCAACCACUAAAAAACUAAUACAAAAAUACAGCUAAUGGGACUUCCCUGGUGGUCCAGUGGGUAAGACUCCACACUCCCAAUGCAGGGGGCCAGGGUUCGAUCCCUGGUCAGGAAACUAGAUCCUGUACGCACGCCGCAGCUAAAGAGUUCGCAUGCCACAACUAAGAAGCCCACAUGCUGCAACUAAAGAUGCCAUAUGCCACAACAAAUCUCCCGCAUGCUGCAACUACGACCCAGCGCAGCCAAAAUAAAUAAAUCAACAACAACAACAACAAAAAUAUAUAUAUAUAACUAAUAAUCCAGAAGUGGAAAUUAAAUAAAAUAAUUCAAAUAAACCAGGAAAAUAUUAAAAAGGGGACAAUGAACAGAUCAG